Molecule: long non-coding RNA, 333 nt
Organism: Salvia miltiorrhiza (redroot sage)
Lineage: Eukaryota; Viridiplantae; Streptophyta; Magnoliopsida; Lamiales; Lamiaceae
Exons: 2
Source: RefSeq, a predicted model, not a curated record
AGGAUUAUGAUGCUCUCGAAGAAACUAACGACCAUGAAUGAAGUUAUGUCAUGCGACCCUUCUUACCUUGGAAAGGUUGGGAGGGAGCGGAAGAGAUUUAAUUUUGAUGAUUUUGACACUAUUCCUUCUAAAUUCAACAUAUGAGGAAGGAGAGAUUGAAAAACAUGGCUCUUGACGCUUGAUGGAGAGAAGUAUUUCAUGUCGUUGGGUAAUGCCAGAGACAUUGGAGGGGAUUUGGAGUUUUGGGCUUUUGUUGCCUAAGAAAAGAAUGGAAGCGUUUGCUGCUAUAUUUGAAAAUGGUCUCAUCAAAUAAUGAGCUGAAUGUGUGUUUUA